This is a long non-coding RNA of Triticum aestivum (bread wheat), 1115 nucleotides long. RefSeq lists it as uncharacterized. The transcript is spliced from 3 exons. Lineage: Eukaryota; Viridiplantae; Streptophyta; Magnoliopsida; Poales; Poaceae. The record is from RefSeq and is a predicted model, not a curated record.
UUCAGUCUGCGGUCCCUGAUUCAUCUUAUCCAAAACUCCUCCCUUUCCAGCGAUGGCAGCGACGGCGGAGCACGAGCAGGUGAGGUGUGGCGCCUUCGUCGGACCGCUACAGCCACGGCGGAGGAGAAGGUGGACGCCAUGGGCGCGGCUACAGAGGAGGCGGAGGAGAAGGCGGACGUCGUGCGCUUGCUACACGGCUACAACCGAGGCGGAGGAGAAGGCGGAUGCCAUGGCCUUGCUGCGCUCAUGGGCGUUCUUGAGGAUGGUACACCGGCCGUGCCGCCGCCAGUCCUCUCUGGCCUCCCGCGUGUUAUCCUUCUCAACCUCCGCUCCUCCUGUCGUGAUUUGGAUGGGAAAUUGGAGGCCGGCCGUGUCCUUGUCCAACACAUAUUGAUGUAGUGCCCGACCCGGAUUUGAUUGGCUGUUAUAAGAAGCAAAGGUCCUCGGUCGGAAUCUCCAUCAGGUUUUGCCCUUCGACCAUAAUCUCCAUCAUCCCAUCGAAAUAGCAAUUUUUGACCAAACAUCCAAUGUCGCCGCCAAGUUCGCCGGACGAAGAAGCGCCGAGUUCGCCGGAGGAACAAGAACGCCCGUCGAGCCGUGCAAUGUCUCUUGUGGCAGCUACACGAGAGUGCCAUCCUUCUUCCGUGAUGCUGCUGCAUGCCAGGAUUCGCAGUGGCACCGCCGCAACCAGCAAGGACACAAGAUCACGAGGAUUGUUGCCGCUUCCGAGGACAUGGGAGCUGCCAUAGCCAGCGAGUACGUGAGCACACACAGUCACCAUCACUUAAGAGGAUGCGAGAGCCAUCUCAGCUUGAGAGGAUGCGCAUACCAUCUCCGGGUGAGGGAGUUCUAUGGAUACACUCCGAGGGCGGGGAUCCCAUUUCAAUGAAAUCAUGCUACGUACUAUAACUUAAACACGCCAAGAAGAUGAGGGAUAGUCCUUCGUUGGAGCGAUAUUUCUUCCAAGGAUGGUUGUUGGCAUGGAUCAGCACCAGUAAUACCCUGAAUUUUCUGAACUUGGCUCCUCUAGCCUAACUUGAUGAUGAAAGUUUCAGUCAAAUGAAUUUAUUAUGUAUAUUUGGCUUGGAGUUAAUCCCAAAAAAAUAAAUUUCUUA